GACGACGUGCCAGAGUGGUUAACGGGUUACAUUGCUAAUGUAGUGCUCUACGAGCGCGAGGGUUCGAAUCCCUUCGUCGUCG
Molecule: non-coding RNA, 82 nt
Organism: Schistocerca gregaria
Lineage: Eukaryota; Metazoa; Arthropoda; Insecta; Orthoptera; Acrididae
Source: the annotation of a RefSeq genome assembly